Molecule: ribosomal RNA, 250 nt
Filed under: uncultured bacterium
Lineage: Bacteria
Description: partial 16S ribosomal RNA
Rfam family: Bacterial small subunit ribosomal RNA
Source: RNAcentral
GGAUGAAUCUUCCGCAAUGGGCGCAAGCCUGACGGAGCGACGCCGCGUGUGGGAUGAAGCGCCUUCGGUGUGUAAACCACUGUCAGGAAAUAGAACCAAUGAUCAUUUCCAAAGGAAGAGACGGCUAACCCUGUGCCAGCAGCCGCGGUAAUACAGGGGUCUCGAGCGUUAAUCGGAAUUACUGGGCUUAAAGGGUGCGUAGGCUGGCCCGCAAGUGCUUUGUGAAAUCCCCUGGCUCAACCAGGGAACU